This is a long non-coding RNA of Monopterus albus (swamp eel), 611 nucleotides long. RefSeq lists it as uncharacterized. The transcript is spliced from 3 exons. Lineage: Eukaryota; Metazoa; Chordata; Actinopteri; Synbranchiformes; Synbranchidae. The record is from RefSeq and is a predicted model, not a curated record.
UCCAUAGCACUGUGUCUCUGUCCCGGGAGGUCUCCGGCCGGUAGAGGUGGUGCCAGGUGAGGAGGCUCUGGCCCUGCAGGAGGCUGACAGCGGUGUGGUGCGUCUGAGAGCUGGAGGCCCCUUCUCUGAGGAGAUGAGCACUCUGUGGCUUGGAGUCCAGAGUCUGGGCUUCACACUGAUUUGUGAGCCCCACGAGAACCUGCUGCUGGCUGAGGGAACCCUCUGCAACUUGACCCAACACUGCCUGGAGCAUAUGCACAUGCUGGGUCAGGGGAGUGAGCUUCUGCGGCUCUGGCCCUGUCUGACAUUCCCUGGAACGGACCCAUAGUGAUGAUUGAGGCAUCAGCUGAGAAGAUGCUGCAGCAGGACUUCUGUCUUGCGGUGAAGGUGGGAGUCAAACACACCCAACAGAUCACACUGGACAUCCAGCAACUGGUACAGGAGCAGAAGGUCACCAAGCGCGCCCCAGUCAAGGUGUUCUCAGCCCCAGCUGAUGUGAUGGAACAUUUUUGGCAGUAAGACCAAUAAUGAAGCUGUUCAUAGUUUCAGAGUGAUGAAGGUGCAGGAGUUGUGCAUAUAAAAUACAAGUGUAAAACAUGAAGUUUUCCAGA